CAGUGACACACUUCCUCCAACAAGGCCAUACUCAAUCCAAUAAAGCCAUGCCUCCUAAUAGCGCCACUCCAUAUGAGAUUAUGGGGGCCAAUUACAUUCAAAUCACUACAGCAUCCCUACUAUUUUGAACUGGGGAAUGUUCUUUAGCUCCAUAUGCCUCAAUUUUCUCUUCUAAAAUGGGAUGUGUUACUUAGACCUCUGUUGCACAGAGAAAUUAAAAGGAGGGAAUGAGAAGACAUGCCCCAGAGAGAUUUUGUUCAGCCAUAGAGAAGAACUGACUCAUGUCACCUGCAGGAAAAUGGAUGGACUCGGAGAUCGUCAUGCUCACUGAAACAAAUCAGACUGAGAUGAGCUCUGGCAUGGUCAGGAUCGCACGGUUGCAGACAGAAGCCAGACUCAGAAAAACAAAAAUUGCAUGCUUUCACUUGUGAGGAACCUAGAUUUCAAAAUAAAAAAAUA
Molecule: long non-coding RNA, 459 nt
Filed under: Cricetulus griseus (Chinese hamster)
Lineage: Eukaryota; Metazoa; Chordata; Mammalia; Rodentia; Cricetidae
Description: lncRNA (ENSCGRG00000024437.1)
Source: RNAcentral